CCUCCCCAGUAGCUGGGACUACAGGAGCCCGCCACCUCGCCCGGCUAAUUUUUUGUAUUUUUAGUAGAGACGGGGUUUCACCGUGUUAGCCAGGAUGGUCUUGAUCUCCUGACCUCGUGAUCCGCGCGCCUCGGUCUCCCAAAAUGCUGGGAUUACAGGCGUGUGCCACCGCGCCUGGCCUCAUCUCUUAAUUCGAGUAAUUUUACAUAAGCAACAAUGGGGUAAGGAGGAGAAAAGAAAGAAGGAAAAAUUGGAAAGAUAAAUGGGGUCUUUCCAGUGAAGCCUCCAGGCCUCCAGACUGGAACUUAUACCACUGAUUCUUCUGAAUCUUAGGCCUUUGGACUUGGACUGGAACUAAACCAUCAGCUCUUCUUGUUCUACCACUUGCAGACUGUAUGUCUUGGGACAUGUCAGCCUCUGUAAUCACAUCAACCCUACUCUGAGCCUCCAG
RNAcentral lists this long non-coding RNA (451 nucleotides) under Homo sapiens (human). Its description in RNAcentral is "HSALNT0110363". Lineage: Eukaryota; Metazoa; Chordata; Mammalia; Primates; Hominidae. The record is from RNAcentral.